CUCUGUGACUCCUACGGGAGGCAGCAGUGGGGAAUAUUGCACAAUGGGGGAAACCCUGAUGCAGCCAUGCCGCGUGUGUGAAGAAGGCCUUCGGGUUGUAAAGCACUUUCAGUAGGGAGGAAGGUAGUGUAGUUAACACCUGCACUAUUUGACGUUACCUACAGAAGAAGCACCGGCUAACUCCGUGCCAGCAGCCGCGGUAAUACGGAGGGUGCGAGCGUUAAUCGGAAUUACUGGGCGUAAAGCGCAUGCAGGCGGCCUGUUAAGUCAGAUGUGAAAGCCCGGGGCUUAACCUCGGAAUUGCAUUUGAAACUGGCAGGCUAGAGUCUUGUAGAGGGGGUAGAAUUUCAGGUGUAGCGGUGAAAUGCGUAGAGAUCUGAAGGAAUACCAGUGGCGAAGGCGGCCCCCUGGACAAAGACUGACGCUCAGAUGCGAAAGCGUGGGGAGCAAACAGGAUUAGAUACCCUUGUAG
This 472-nucleotide ribosomal RNA is filed under the name uncultured bacterium. RNAcentral's name for it is "bacterial SSU rRNA". It matches the Rfam family "Bacterial small subunit ribosomal RNA", at positions 328 to 793 of the family's 1533-position model. The record is from RNAcentral.